RNAcentral lists this long non-coding RNA (3803 nucleotides) under Oryza sativa aus subgroup. RNAcentral describes it as "lncRNA OsN22_03G012900". The record is from RNAcentral. Lineage: Eukaryota; Viridiplantae; Streptophyta; Magnoliopsida; Poales; Poaceae.
CGAAGGUCAGGAAAAGAAUUGCUCUACAGCGGCGCGGGAGGGAGGGGAGAAAGAGCGGGGAGGAGGAGGGCAAGCAAGGGAUCUCGCAGUGCAGACGAGCCUGGUGGGAGGGAGGAGGGAGAGGGAGAAUUGGGAGCAGUUGGCGCGUCGCCGUCGCACGCCACCAUCCCCACCCUGCGCCGCGUGCUGCAGCGCUCGCCUUUAUUACGCCCCCGCCCCACAGAGCUCGCCUGGGCGAGCGAGCAGGCAGGCGGCGCUCUUCAGGACACCGAAUAUUGGCUGGUGGUCCGCGCCAAGGCAAAGAUGUCGGUAGCCAAGAAGGAAGAGGUACAUGAAGUUUCCUCCUUGGAGGUCCAUUCUGGUAGGCUGGAUGUCUCUUUCUGCAUUUGUAUAAAAACUCUGGAUGUUGUUUGCAGUCAUCGGCUCGGGCCGCGAUUGGAUGAGCCGGCGGUCGGCGUGCCCAUUAAGAAAAGGCCAAUUGCUUCCGUCUGGAAUGCGGCGGUCGGCGUGCCCAUUAAGAAAAGGCCAGUUUUGUUGUCUGAUAGAUUGCUUCCGUCUGGAAUGCCGCCCUCGAUGAGACCAUCGUCUCCGGCAACGGGGAUGGCCGUUUCAGUUGCAGAGGCAGGAUGCAGCAAGGACACUUUCUUGAACAGAUCUGUAUCAGAAGAAACAAGUGCAAUCGCAAAAGGUAAUGGGAUGUUUAAUCCCCAGGAUCAAAGGCAUGCCAAGAGGUCAUUCAUUCAAUCUUUGACCGAGAAAAAAGGGUUGUCACUUGAUGGAUCAAGUGGAAUCCCUUCUCGCAUAGAGAGUGGUACAGGUAAUGUUGCUCCCGUUGAUGAUACUCAGAGUCAGAAGUUUUUGAGUUUGGGUUUGCGUUCAGCAUCUCGUCUGAAUGGUAAGAUCAAUUCUAGUUCCAAUGUCAAGGAAGAGAAAGUUGAUCAGGUGAGCAAUGGACUGCGUCGAAACAUUGACAGUACUUUGAACCUUUCCAAUGCAUAUGGACUUUCUAAUAAGCGUGGGGCAGCUGAUGUUACCUUAGACUUGCAACUUAAACCACCAGCUAGACCUGAGCUAGGCAUAAACUGGAAAGGACUUGCUCCUGUUCCAGGACUAAGUCUCUCUCUGUCUAGUAAGCAUGUUGAAGAGUCUGAGAACAAUGCUGGAUUAAAUCUCUCUCUAUUUGGUAAGCACGUUAAUGAGUCUGAGAACAAUGCUCCUAAUGUUGCAGUUAGAUCUGAACCUGCUAAAGAGCCUGAAGAACAGUCUAAACGACAUGUUCAGAAUGAUGUAGAAAAAGAACAACCAUUAGAAUCACAAAGUGUUGGACUAGCUAACAAUCGCGCUGAAAUUGAAAAGCCUGACGGUGCCCACCAAGUUCCUGGAAAAGCUGCCCUUGAUUUGAAUUCUGGAAUCUUUCCAAAUGUAGCAACUGCUAACGUUCCACUAUCAACUGAAAGAUUGCGUGAUGCCAUCCGCACUGAGGCCAUGCAUGCUGACCAUGAAGUUAAGAAAUCUAUCAAGUGUGAGGAAACAACUGCUGCAAUCCCAAGUCCUGCAACUGCAUCAGUAAGUAGUCGCUGCUCACCACUGAUGGCCACAAAGCAAUUGCCUUUGGGAGACCGUGAUGCUAGCCGCGCUGGAUUACGUGUAUCAGCCAGCCAGCCCUCAUUGCCUACUGAACCUGCAUGCUGUAAUCCUGAUGAGGCUAAUGUUGAUUGCAAACCAACAAUGAGUCAUGUGAAUUCUCACAAUGCUGUUGAAGUUUGUGGUUCAUUGCAAAGUUCCUCGAAUCCUAUACCUGAACCAUCAAUUUCCAAUUCUCGGAAUCGUUUUGGGUUUGAUGGUAUGUCACAAGGGAGUGCUGAAAUGGACUGUUCAGAAGAUGAUGACAAUAUUGUAUCACAUCUAUCUACUACCAAUAAACCUCAUGGAGGGACACUAGGGAACAAUCAAACCUCUGACAGUAUGGGUUCGGGUAGAAAUCUACAGAAGGAACAUGACAGUAAUACACAUCAGAAUUGCUCAUUUGUGACAAAUAAGAUCGACAUGCAAGGUAUUAGUGAUGACAAGCGUAUUAAUGUUAAAGAUGGUGUUUUCCCUCAUUCAUGUCAGAACAGUCAUCAAAGUGGCAAUGUUGUCAAUGAAGAGUCCAAAAAUAAACAACUAUUGGGAUCAGAUAAGAAUACUCCAAUGAAUAACAACGACAGUACCAUACGUGUUAAGACCAUCACAGGCUCAAGUACAGCAGAUACCCGAAGGACAACUUCUGUACAGAAUGAAAGAGAUGGUCAGGUUGACGACCCACAUUGGAGAGGGAUGGGGCAUCCUUAUGUCAAUGUCAAUAGGAAUGAAACAUGGGAGAGGCUUAUACAGUCUAAGAGAGAGAAGAACAAAGGAGAGUACCAUGGUGGCAGGCAUGCGCCUGAUACAUUCAAUCAACGAAGGCCAGAUUACCGUUAUGGUGGACGUGGUGUUGGAUCCCGUGGUAAUCCAAGGAACUUCCGGGGUCCAAGAAUGAAUGAAUCUGAACUUUACUUUGACGAUGAACCUAUGGCCCGCAGAAGGCGCCCCUUUGAAGAUUACCUAGGGCACAUGCAGCGAAUUCCACAUAGGCGGCACCGCUCCCCGCCAAUGAACAAUCAGUUGCAGGGCGGUCUGAUGAGAGAUAUGGACAUUGAUGGUUUCUCUGGAAGAGAUGUUCCAGACCCUAGGCUGCUGGCACAUGAGCAUAUGGAAGAUCUAUCUGAUGACAUGAUGGAGGAGAGGUUUUAUGUACCACAUUCCCGUCGGCAUCAUAUACAAGGUGACCAUGCAUUCAUUCACAGAAACAGGAGCCAUUCACCUGGGCAGAGAAGGGGUGCACCUAUGCAUUUACAUAGAGGAUGGUCUCCUGAAACAAUGGGCAGAUCACCACCAUUAAUCAGAACUGACAGACCAUACUUACCUCAUCGACACCACACCCGCCGCCAUGGUUCGCCCUUUGACCGAAUUGAGCAUGAUGACAGAGGUAUGCAAAGAAACAUGAGAAGGUGUGGCAUGCAUCAUGGAGGUGUAGAAGGAGACUCCUUCGAGCCACAUCUACAUCCUGCUCAAUUAGCCGAACUACAUGCAGAAGCUGAACUUACCGAGAGAAGGAAGUUUGGCGAGAGGAGAGGCCAUCAUCUCCGACCCUUUGAAGGCAGCCCCGAUGAUGACGAGGUCAUACUUUCCUACGGCGCGGAUGGUGACAUGGACUUCGCCGAAGGUGGCAGCGGUGGUCUGCCGCCAGGAGAGCUCGACGGCCGCUUCAGGAGGCACAUGGGGAGGGAUGAGGAAGAAGAAGACCACAUGUGUCAUGGACCUCAUGGGUGGCGCGAUGGCAGCUCUAAUGGCAGCAGGGCAAAGAGGAGGAGGUACUGACCUAGUCGCACAACUAUGACAGCUGCGAGCCUAUCUAAACUAAUGCAUAGUGGCGUUUUUUGGUUGGCUGGUUCAUGCAUCACCGACUCACCGAUUCUCUUAACCAAACCUUGCUAUAGGUUUGCAAGCAUGUCUCCUUCAAUAUUUAUGGCUUGUUUCUUUCAUUCUUUCCUCACGGAAGUACGCUACCCUGCAGCUUAACACCCACAAGGCUGUCUGAAGUACUACUAUAUUUACACUAUAUAUCUCAAUAAGGUGAUAUUAGCAUGUGGACAUGGUCACAUGGAGGUGAAACUGACAUUUCAGGACAAAUCAAAGUAAACGUGGACUUGUCUUUGCCCCUCUAGCUUGCCUUUUUUGCUUGGUAAAUCAAAUUAAUUUGAGGAAGGAGAAGAAUAUCCGGG